Long non-coding RNA from Gasterosteus aculeatus aculeatus (three-spined stickleback), 2510 nucleotides. NCBI's taxonomy places the organism in Eukaryota, Metazoa, Chordata, Actinopteri, Perciformes, Gasterosteidae. The record is from Ensembl.
GUCGCGUGGCUCACGGACACGUAAGCUCGGCUGACCUUUCGUUCCAUCGAAACCCCACCGCUGUUUACUUCCCGUGCGCACGUCUCUCCGAGGAGCGAGGGCUGCCUCGCCCGCGCGCUUGUGUUUCUUUGUUGGUUGUGUGUGUGUGUGUGUGUGUGUGUGUGUGUGUGUGUGUGUUGGUGGCGAGGCGGCGUUGUCGUCUCCCAGAUUCCGUUUGCUGCUCCGGGCUGUUUUUCCAGAGGAGGUCCUGACCGUCCGCGGAGCCUCAGAGGGCCGCGGAGGCGUCUCGUCCACUGGGGGGGGUUGUGCUUGCUCACAGGCUCGCAUUAAAGCAGAUGGUGUGAGGUCGACCUCUCCACCUCUUCACCUCACCUGCUCUCACCACCGACGGCUUCGCUCAACCAGAUAACAACCGAGCAGCUUGUUAUAGCAUGCAUUCAUUAAAGUUUCAGCGCUCCCUGCACCUUAAACAGCCUCGGAGAGAAAGAGACCGAAAUCCUGAAAAGUUGUUACUGGUUUCUCUGCGAAAUAACAACGAAAGUUUCAAAAUCAGCAAAGUAUUAUAACGGAUGCACUUUUUGAAAAAGCGGUCCUGCAUUUGAGAGUUAGUCAGUGGCGGCCGUCAUCGGCCCAUUUCUUAUCCGGCGGAGGCCUUUUGCAACAAACCAGAUCCAUCGUAGAGUGAAUGUGAGUAGAACGAGAUGAGAGGAACACAUCGUGUUUUCACCGGCAGACAAUGGGCCCGAUGUCGCCGCUUAAAACGGAGCUUCCCAGAACGCAACCCAACGUGUUUUGACCCCGCCGGUGUUGCUCUUCCCACAAAACACACCAAACAUUUUCCUUUUUCGACCAGUGAAGGGAAGUGAGCGUCGAUGGGACUCUGACAGAGAAAAGAAGGCAAUGAGGAUCUGUUCCACUUGGUUUUGGGCCUCCACAGUUUCCUUCUGUUUUCCUGCGUCCUCCCCCAGCGCAGCUGCGUUAAAACGCCACGUGUACACAUUGUGCGUGGGCCCGGGUGGGCCGGACCCCUGCCCGUCAGCGGCAUUCUCAUUCUCUCAUUCUCAUUCUCAGCGGCCGAAGAGAAAACCUUUGUAAUUGCAGCUGAUUGGCCCUCGAUUAGGUUUGCGGGUUUGCUACUUUCCUCCGGUGGUUUUGGCAAACGUGGGCAGCGGGAUCUCCUCCUGAAGUUCGCUGCUCGGGUUUUCAACGCCGCUCCCGGAGUAAUGAGGCUGAAACGCGAGCCACGGAAAUCAAUAAGGAGCUCCUGCUGUGGGAGCUGUAGUAGUUAUUUUCUCUACUUAUUACAGGGAAAAGUCUGGCUGCUUUGAUCAGCACUUUCAAACGUCAACAAAAACAAUCUCUGGCCUGUUUGUGAGACACGAGCUGUGAGGGAAUAAUGAAUUAUGGGGGGAUACAUUCUGCAACUGCUACUUAAUGUCACUAAAGUAUGAAUAAAACACAGCAAUCACCUUAGAAAUGGACGUUUCCGCCUGAAAAUGAACUGGAAGCGACACGAGAGACAGAAUGGAGACGCCGUCGUGGUUUAUUAGUGAGAAAUGAUCCGUAACAGAAAUGUGUGGCAGGGCAGUUUACUUACUUACUAAUACGAUUUUGUGAUUCAGUCACAUUGUUAUAAUUAAGUUGAACAUAAGAAAGGCUCUAAAUUUCUUUGCAGCUUGAUGUUUGAGGCUUGUCAGUGUGUGAGUGUGUCGACACAACCAGGAACCCAGAACCCAGAAGCACUUUCACUACUCAAACAGGAUUUACAUACGUGUGUAUGUCAUCACCUUCUCUAACUUUUACAAUGUUUAUGUUUUUUUGUCAGGUUCCGGAUACAUGAUGAUCAUAAUUAACGUUGUGAUGAAGCCAGAUGCCUUCAUCGAUCAUCUGGACACGCCACUCGUGCUGCUUGUGCUGAAACCCGGCGGACGCUCUUCCUUCACUGUAAUAACACGAGUGUGUAAACCAAGUAUAAAAACUAAACCAACACUACACACAAGCAAUGGUGGUUGUGUGAAGACGCGCCUUUAUGUGCGUCCAUCCUGCCAACCACGUCCAGCAGGUUGCUGGAGGAGCGCCAUGUCUGUUGUUUCGGCCCCUCUUUGGAGGCUCGGCGGGGUCUUUCCCACCGGCUCAGGGUCCUGAGAAGAAACGUGUUCUCGUCCUUCUUCACCGUCAUUCAAUCACGUCACAGAGGGACAAACGCACACGGGACGCUUUCAAUGACAAUUUUACUGUUAAAAUAGAGAUCAGAAGAGAAGAGAUCAACUUCAGAGAGGUCAGCAGAACCUCUGUGGAAGACGUGAAUAUGCUGGAUGGGGAAGAUGAUUAAGAGCAUAAUGACCAAGGGCCAAUUUUAAAAAAUGCUGCAGCGGUUUGCUUCCCUUUGGAACUUCAAAGCGGGAAAAGAGACAAAACGGAGGGAACAGAAAUAGAGGGGAACAAUCUUUGCUGCUGGAAAAAAAAAAGCGAAAUGUACUUCAAGCACCUUGAAGUCUGAGUAAUAUGAG